CCUACGGGCGGCUGCAGUAGGGAAUAUUGGACAAUGGGUGCGAGCCUGAUCCAGCCAUGCCGCGUGCAGGAAGAAGGCGUUAUGCGUUGUAAACUGCUUUUGCCAGGGGAUAAAAUAACUGUGCGCAGUUGAUUGAAGGUACCUGGUGAAUAAGCCACGGCUAACUACGGGCCAGCAGCCGCGGUAAUACGUAGGUGGCAAGCGUUGUCCGGAUUUAUUGGGUGCGAAGGCGGCCCAGGAGGUCCGUGGAUACAUCUCUCAGCUUAACUGAGAGGGUGCCAUUGAUACUGCGGGGCUUGAGUACAGAUGAGGUAGGCGGAAUUGACGGUGUAGCGGUGAAAUGCAUAGAUAUCGUCAAGAACACCGAUAGCGAAGGCAGCUUACCAAGCUGUAACUGACGCUGAGGCACGAAAGUGUGGGGAUCAAACAGGAUUAGAUACCCGGGUAGUC
RNAcentral lists this ribosomal RNA (450 nucleotides) under uncultured bacterium. Its description in RNAcentral is "partial 16S ribosomal RNA". It matches the Rfam family "Bacterial small subunit ribosomal RNA", at positions 338 to 795 of the family's 1533-position model. The record is from RNAcentral.